This 439-nucleotide ribosomal RNA is filed under the name uncultured bacterium. Its description in RNAcentral is "partial 16S ribosomal RNA". It matches the Rfam family "Bacterial small subunit ribosomal RNA", at positions 339 to 795 of the family's 1533-position model. The record is from RNAcentral.
CUACGGGGCGCAGCAGUGGGGAAUCUUGGACAAUGGGCGCAAGCCUGAUCCAGCCAUGCCGCGUGAGUGAAGAAGGCCUUAGGGUCGUAAAGCUCUUUCGCCAGAGAUGAUAAUGACAGUAUCUGGUAAAGAAACCCCGGCUAACUCCGUGCCAGCAGCCGCGGUAAUACGGAGGGGGUUAGCGUUGUUCGGAAUUACUGGGCGUAAAGCGCGCGUAGGCGGACUAGUCAGUCAGAGGUGAAAUCCCAGGGCUCAACCCUGGAACUGCCUUUGAUACUGCUAGUCUUGAGUUCGAGAGAGGUGAGUGGAGUUCCGAGUGUAGAGGUGAAAUUCGUAGAUAUUCGGAGGAACACCAGUGGCGAAGGCGGCUCACUGGCUCGAUACUGACGCUGAGGUGCGAAAGUGUGGGGAGCAAACAGGAUUAGAUACCCUCGUAGUC